Small nucleolar RNA from Zootoca vivipara (common lizard), 207 nucleotides. RefSeq annotates it as small nucleolar RNA U3. The record is from RefSeq and is a predicted model, not a curated record. Lineage: Eukaryota; Metazoa; Chordata; Lepidosauria; Squamata; Lacertidae.
AAGACUCUACUUUCAGGGAACAUUUCUAUAGUUUGUAACGAGAGAAGUGUACUCGAAAGUGAUUGGCUGCGCGAACCACAAGGAGGAGUUGCAAGUGUUCUCUCCUGAGCGCAAAGGGAGCAUUUUGCAGCUGCUGCCUGUUAUUGAUGACCGUUCUGCCUCCUUUUCACGAAGGAGGUUGGAGGGAGAGAAGACGGACUGAGUGGC